Molecule: RNase P RNA, 284 nt
Filed under: Paludibacteraceae bacterium
Lineage: Bacteria; Pseudomonadati; Bacteroidota; Bacteroidia; Bacteroidales; Paludibacteraceae
Description: RNase P RNA component class A
Rfam family: Bacterial RNase P class A
About the family: Ribonuclease P (RNase P) is a ubiquitous endoribonuclease, found in archaea, bacteria and eukarya as well as chloroplasts and mitochondria. Its best characterised activity is the generation of mature 5'-ends of tRNAs by cleaving the 5'-leader elements of precursor-tRNAs.
Source: RNAcentral
CAAGCAGAUCGGUCUAUCGCGCCUUCGGGUGAGGAAAGUCCGGGCAGCACAGAGCACCACAGCGGUUAACGGCCGUCAGGCAGAAAUGUUUGGUCACUGCUACAGAGACGAGUGAUGUGAAACGAGCACACUGUGGGCUGCAAUUCCAAGUAAACCAACGUCUGAGCGUUGCUCGCGUGAGUUGGAGGGUAGGAUGCGACAGAAGCACGUGGUAACACGCGACUCAAGAUUAAUGAUAGACGCCCUUCGGGGUACAGAACCCGGCUUAUAGAUCUGCUUCCCCU